This 237-nucleotide ribosomal RNA is filed under the name uncultured bacterium. Its description in RNAcentral is "partial 16S ribosomal RNA". The record is from RNAcentral.
ACGCUCGACACCUACGGGAGGCAGCAGUGGGGAAUAUUGCACAAGUGGGACGAAACUCUGACNGCAGCCGNUGACGAGAGUACGGAAGGUAAGGUUUUACCGGUAUUUGGUUAAAACCUCGUUAGGUACGUUGGGAACGAAGUAACGUACGACGGUAACCCGAAGGAAGGAACGACCGUCCGGCUAACUACGUGUCAGCACGCCGACGGUAAUCUGGAGGCCGGGCUGGACGAAGGC